This is a long non-coding RNA of Bombyx mori (domestic silkworm), 527 nucleotides long. RefSeq lists it as uncharacterized. Lineage: Eukaryota; Metazoa; Arthropoda; Insecta; Lepidoptera; Bombycidae. The record is from RefSeq and is a predicted model, not a curated record. The transcript has 3 exons.
GGCUAUUGCAUAGAUAAAAAUAUAUAACCUGUACAAUCCUUUUUAUGUAAUCACUUGAGUUACUAAGAGGUUUAAACAUAUAAGAAAAAGCAGUACGGAGACGUAUCUAAUGACACCUUAUUUAAAUAAACCAAUUGUUUAUAAAUUAUGUAACACAUACUAAGGAAAUUUUGGUGUGGCACAGCCAGAAUAGUGCUGACGUAAUAAAUAAUACCGGCGUUUAUUUUAACGGUGAACAUAUAGAUCCAAGAAUAAAGCGGACUAAACGUCAUGGACGUCAAGACUUCUAUAAGAUUAAAAACUGAAAUCAUUUUUCCUGGAAGCAAAAAUGAGCAUGUAAUUUUAAAUAAAGAAAUUGCCGGGGUGCUUUUGGCUAAUACAGGCAGGAAAGUAUUGAAAUUUUGAGAUCCUUUAGAAUUCUUCCGCGUGUACACUCAGCAGAGUUUAAUUUCAGAUUGUAAUUAAUUACGUGUGAUUUUCAUACUGAAUAAAAAUGCCCUAAGCAAUUUCAGGACAGUAAAAGUAAA